RNAcentral lists this unclassified non-coding RNA (559 nucleotides) under Hevea brasiliensis (rubber tree). The record is from RNAcentral. Lineage: Eukaryota; Viridiplantae; Streptophyta; Magnoliopsida; Malpighiales; Euphorbiaceae.
UGGAAGUAUUCCACCGAAUUCUGCUAUUAGUGAGUGGACUAUGGAUGAGUGCCACUAUGUCAUAGAUUCUCAACAGUUCAAGCACGAACCAUCUGACAAAACUAUUCUCUUGUGUGAUGACAUAAGCUUUGGACAGGAGUCAGUUCCGAUAACUUGUGUGGUAGAAGAAAAUCUUUUUGCCUCCCUCCACAUUCUUGCUGAUGGCUCCAAUGGCCAAAUUACCACAAGUUCUCUACCUUGGGAGAGCUUUACCUACGCAACAAAACCAUUGAUUGAUCAAUCCUUGGAUCUUGCAAUAGGGAGUUCCCAAUUGGGGUGUGCUUGUCCAAAUUCAGCAUGCUCUUCUCAAACUUGUGAUCAUAUUUACCUCUUUGAUAAUGAUUACGAUGAUGCCAAAGAUAUUUAUGGGAAGCCUAUGCGUGGAAGGUUCCCAUAUGAUGAGAGAGGUCGGAUCAUGUUGGAGGAGGGCUACCUUAUCUAUGAAUGCAAUCAAUGGUGCUCGUGCAGUAAAUCUUGUCAGAAUAGGGUUUUACAGAGUGGAGUGCGUGUGAAGCUAGAA